This 76-nucleotide transfer RNA is filed under the name Planctomycetota bacterium. RNAcentral describes it as "Planctomycetes bacterium tRNA-Leu". It matches the Rfam family "tRNA". From Rfam's summary of the family: Transfer RNA (tRNA) molecules are approximately 80 nucleotides in length. Their secondary structure includes four short double-helical elements and three loops (D, anti-codon, and T loops). Further hydrogen bonds mediate the characteristic L-shaped molecular structure. tRNAs have two regions of fundamental functional importance: the anti-codon, which is responsible for specific mRNA codon recognition, and the 3' end, to which the tRNAs corresponding amino acid is attached (by aminoacyl-tRNA synthetases). tRNAs cope with the degeneracy of the genetic code in two manners: having more than one tRNA (with a specific anti-codon) for a particular amino acid; and 'wobble' base-pairing, i.e. permitting non-standard base-pairing at the 3rd anti-codon position. Lineage: Bacteria; Pseudomonadati; Planctomycetota. The record is from RNAcentral.
GGGGGGGUAGCCCAAUGGCAGAGGCAGAGGACUUAAAAUCCUCCCAGUGCGGGUUCGACUCCCGUCCCCCCUACCA